GGUAAAGUGGCAGAACGGUUGAAUGCAGUCGCCUGGAAAGCGGCCAGAUUAGGUAACCCCUAGUCUCGGAGGUUCGAAUCCUCUCUUUACCGCAA
RNAcentral lists this transfer RNA (95 nucleotides) under Salmonella enterica subsp. enterica serovar Braenderup. Its description in RNAcentral is "tRNA-Ser". It matches the Rfam family "tRNA". Rfam says of the family: Transfer RNA (tRNA) molecules are approximately 80 nucleotides in length. Their secondary structure includes four short double-helical elements and three loops (D, anti-codon, and T loops). The record is from RNAcentral. Lineage: Bacteria; Pseudomonadati; Pseudomonadota; Gammaproteobacteria; Enterobacterales; Enterobacteriaceae.